CUGCUGCUGCUGGUGCUGCUUGUGUGCUCGUUGGGUGCGGACCUGGUGCCUCUUUUGUGAAGCGGCUUCUGAGGAGACUCCAGCGCUCGCCAUGGCCGACGCAAAGCCCAAGGAAGGAGUCAAGACUGAGAACAACGAUCAUAUUCAUUUGAAGGUGGCGGGGCAGGCUGGUUCUGUGGUGCAGUUUAAGAUCAAGAGGCACACACCACUUAGUAAACUAAUGAGAGCCUAUUGUGAACGACAGGGCUUGUCAAUGAGGCAGAUCAGAUUCCGAUUGGACGGGCAGCCAAUCAAUGAAACAGACACACCCGCACAGCUGGGAAUGAAGAAUGAAGAUACAAUUGACGUGUUCCAGCAGCAGACAGGAGGUGUCUACUAA
RNA transcript from Carlito syrichta (Philippine tarsier), 379 nucleotides. It is a transcript of the gene named small ubiquitin-related modifier 2 pseudogene, with no coding region annotated. The record is from RefSeq and is a predicted model, not a curated record. The transcript has a single exon. Lineage: Eukaryota; Metazoa; Chordata; Mammalia; Primates; Tarsiidae.